This 253-nucleotide ribosomal RNA is filed under the name uncultured bacterium. Its description in RNAcentral is "partial 16S ribosomal RNA". It matches the Rfam family "Bacterial small subunit ribosomal RNA", at positions 524 to 776 of the family's 1533-position model. The record is from RNAcentral.
UACGUAGGGGGCAAGCGUUGUUCAGAAUUACUGGGCGUAAAGGGCGCGUAGGCGGCACGGCAAGUCAGAAGUGAAAGGCCUGGGCUCAACCGAGGAACUGCUUUUGAGACUGCCGAGCUAGAGUGCGGAAGGGGCAACCGGAAUUCCCAGUGUAGCGGUGAAAUGCGUAGAUAUUGGGAGGAACACCAGUGGCGAAGGCGACUACCUGGCCUGUUCUUGACGCUGAGGCGCGAAAGCUAGGGGAGCAAACGGG